RNAcentral lists this ribosomal RNA (465 nucleotides) under Vreelandella stevensii. RNAcentral describes it as "partial 16S ribosomal RNA". It matches the Rfam family "Bacterial small subunit ribosomal RNA", at positions 338 to 795 of the family's 1533-position model. Lineage: Bacteria; Pseudomonadati; Pseudomonadota; Gammaproteobacteria; Oceanospirillales; Halomonadaceae. The record is from RNAcentral.
CCUACGGGGGGCAGCAGUGGGGAAUAUUGGACAAUGGGCGAAAGCCUGAUCCAGCCAUGCCGCGUGUGUGAAGAAGGCCUUCGGGUUGUAAAGCACUUUCAGUGGGGAAGAAAGCCUUGGGGCUAAUACCCUCGAGGAAGGACAUCACCCACAGAAGAAGCACCGGCUAACUCCGUGCCAGCAGCCGCGGUAAUACGGAGGGUGCGAGCGUUAAUCGGAAUUACUGGGCGUAAAGCGCGCGUAGGCGGUCUGAUAAGCCGGUUGUGAAAGCCCCGGGCUCAACCUGGGAACGGCAUCCGGAACGGUCAGGCUAGAGUGCAGGAGAGGAAGGUAGAAUUCCCGGUGUAGCGGUGAAAUGCGUAGAGAUCGGGAGGAAUACCAGUGGCGAAGGCGGCCUUCUGGACUGACACUGACGCUGAGGUGCGAAAGCGUGGGUAGCAAACAGGAGUAGAUACCCGAGUAGUC